AGAACCAAGUUAUUGCAGCCCCUUGUUCCCUUUCCAGCCUGGGCUGGUUUGUUCCACAAUGGCUCAAACCAAAUAAGAAACACGCGUGUCUCGAAGAACAGCCUUUCCCAUGGUCAAGCUCAGCGUGCCUUCUGCCAGGCAUGUCCUCUUACCACCAUCUCCAUGGGAUCCAUCUGCACAAAAGCACACUUGCCACUAGUCUGUGGAAUUAAACCUUCGCGUCCUG
RNAcentral lists this long non-coding RNA (226 nucleotides) under Mus caroli (Ryukyu mouse). RNAcentral's name for it is "lncRNA (MGP_CAROLIEiJ_G0034612.1)". The record is from RNAcentral. Lineage: Eukaryota; Metazoa; Chordata; Mammalia; Rodentia; Muridae.